This 584-nucleotide long non-coding RNA is filed under the name Ananas comosus (pineapple). RNAcentral's name for it is "long non-coding RNA (ACOM_LNC014562)". The record is from RNAcentral. Lineage: Eukaryota; Viridiplantae; Streptophyta; Magnoliopsida; Poales; Bromeliaceae.
UCACUCAUCAAAGUAGUACUUUAGUCCUAACAUGCUUAACUCUCUUAAUAUUUCUGGCCUAAACAGCAUCCAAAAUGUUAUAAUUGGAUUAAGAAACUUAGUUCUAUUAUAUCUCAUACAUUGAAUUUUUUCAAAUUCUGAGUUCGCACACAUAUCUCACUACAUUUCUCUCUCUCUCAAAAAAAAAAAAAAAAAAAAAAAGGAAAAAGGUUUUCAAAUCACAGGACCAAACAAAAUGUACAUAAUUAGGCCAAAUCCCAUUACCAUGAUUGAAAUUUCUCCCAAAACUUAUUCACUCCUACAGUUAUACAUCACAAGCAUUAAAUUGACCUAUGGACUUAAAUAUAGGACCUAAUUAUCUGCAUAAGUAAUUUUAUUAUUUUUUGGAGCUUUUACUUAUUUAUUCCUAACUACUAUUCAAAAUUUUUAAAUUUAUUUAUAAAUUAUUAAAACAUCCUUCUAAACCCAAAUCCUAUUAGAAAUUUGGGAAUAUUUAAAGAAAUUUAUAAAAAUCAAGAAGGAUAUUUUGGUCAAUUAGAAAUAUAUUAAAUAUUUUUAAAGAUUUAGAUGGUAUAUUAGAUAUU